Molecule: small nuclear RNA, 102 nt
Organism: Phodopus roborovskii (desert hamster)
Lineage: Eukaryota; Metazoa; Chordata; Mammalia; Rodentia; Cricetidae
Source: RefSeq, a predicted model, not a curated record
GUGCUCGAUUCAGCAGCACAUAUACCAAAAUUGGAACAAUACAGUAAUUAGCAUGGCCCUUGCCCAGAGGGUUUUUUUUUUUUUUUUUUUUUUUUUUUUUUU